This 969-nucleotide long non-coding RNA is filed under the name Danio rerio (zebrafish). Its description in RNAcentral is "lncRNA (ENSDARG00000095266.4)". Lineage: Eukaryota; Metazoa; Chordata; Actinopteri; Cypriniformes; Danionidae. The record is from RNAcentral.
CUGGCGUUGGUUGUGGUUAGUGGUUUUGUGCGAUUUGCGAUUUCUCGAUUGAUUUACGGUUAUUGAUUCACGGUUUUUGACACUUUUUUCGGACUUCGACUACGGCUUUGGAUUUGCGAUUUCACUUUGACACUCGGAUACGGUUUUGGAUUUCCCGGUAACGACCCUUUUCUUCUGACUUCGACUGACGGCUUUGGACACCCCUUGGAUUUGGUUGCUUAGCAAAACCCCCAUAAUGGGAGUUUUAUCCCUGUGUGAGGAAGCACCGAGCAAGGUGUUCGGUGUUCCCUUGUCACAUCUGAGGAAGACCGGACAGAUGAGACAGGGGCUUCCUCUGGCCUUCACACACCUAGUACGCUUCCUCGAGAAGCAUGUACUGGAUACCCUUCCAGAGGAAAAUUACAACAUCCUCUGCUUUCUAACGUUCUUCCUGUCCCGAGUGGCUGCCGAGAGUCAUGCCAACUGCAUGACCACCACCAACCUGUCCAUAGAAUUUGGGCCGAUCCUCUUUCAUGUUCCUCAAGGCCCCACAAAGCUUGAGGAAGAGGAGAUGUGUAUCAGCUUUACGGAGUACAUGCUGGACAACCUCAGACAUCUACUGCCCAAUAUGUACCCUCAAGCAUCUGCCACCAACACAGCAGAGGGAGACAGUGUGUCUGAGGCGGGAGGGGACUUCACUCCUGAAAAGUGUGUCCAGCAGGUGCUUCUCACAGAGACCAGCUCAAAGCCACUAAAAAUUGGGCGACUUGGGCGUCUGAGAAGACAAUUUUUGCAUUUUUGGCAAAAAUUUGGCUCCUGCAAUGGCAGGCGCAAAGUGGAAGAGAGUGAAAAACCCUCUGCGGCUGGUGAUGUUCAAUGCAUGUCUCCAUAGCCAGUGAGAGACUGAGGGAGGGUGAGGGUCACCAGUAAACAAUGGGGUUGGUGAGGGUCACCGGAAGGCACAGAUGUUGGUGAGGGUCACCAAUGUGA